UGGUUUAAGCGCCUUACCUUAGGGUUUCCUCUGGGGUAAGUGAUUGCUUCUACACUGUGAAAAUUUGGCUGAGAGACUCAGACUGGUCAUGGGUAGACCUAUCUGGGGUUUGAUCGAUGCCACUCCUGGUUUCAGGAGUACCCUUCAUAAUAAACCUAGAAAUUCAGUAUUAUAAAGUUUAAUAAAAAACAACUUUUAACAAUGGAUCUCUUGGUUCUCGCAUCGAUGAAGAACGUAGCAAAGUGCGAUAACUAGUGUGAAUUGCAUAUUCAGUGAAUCAUCGAGUCUUUGAACGCAGCUUGCACUCUAUGGUUUUUCUAUAGAGUACGCCUGCUUCAGUAUCAUCACAAACCCACACAUAACAUUUGUUUAUGUGGUGAUGGGUCGCAUCGCUGUUUUAUUACAGUGAGCACCUAAAAUGUGUGUGAUUUUCUGUCUGGCUUGCUAGGCAGGAAUAUUACGCUGGUCUCAGGAUCUUUUUUUUUGGUUCGCCCAGGAAGUAAAGUACAAGAGUAUAAUCCAGUAACUUUCAAACUAUGAUCUGAAGUCAGGUGGGAUUACCCGCUGAACUUAAGCAUAUCAAUAAGCGGAGGAA
Molecule: ribosomal RNA, 595 nt
Filed under: Rhizopus arrhizus
Lineage: Eukaryota; Fungi; Mucoromycota; Mucoromycetes; Mucorales; Rhizopodaceae
Description: eukaryotic LSU rRNA
Rfam family: 5.8S ribosomal RNA (bases 191-344)
Source: RNAcentral